UGGUGACUGGGGCUGGGCUGUUAGCAGAGGAGAUGCUGAAACACGACCCCAUGACUGGUAUAGAACUGAAAGUAAAUCAAGCUGGACUUAUGAAGGAUUCCUCUCUCCAUUCGUGGAUGAAUUUGAGUGGCACUGGAACAAGAUUAUCUGAGUAGGCUGAACCAUCGGUGAAAAGGAGGCCAAGCAUCUCAAAAAUAGGACACGUGAGAGUAUGGAGCCAAUGUGACACUCAGAUUUGACACAUACAGAAGCGUGAAAAACUCUUGUGUGACUGGGAUAGCUCCUCUGCAAUGAGAACAUGCCUGGGAUAAUGUACUGAAAAGAUGUGAGAAAUACAUGAAGCAGAGUCCAGUCAUCCCAGCCAAGAACCAGCUGUGAAUGUAACCGCAUGACUUUGAGGCAAGUCCAGACCAAGAACAAAGAACCACUGGUCUUAAAGACAGACCUGCAGAUUCCUGAGCUAAAUAAAAGUUUAUUGUUGAAAGGCACUGAGUUGUUUUUG
Molecule: long non-coding RNA, 502 nt
Filed under: Homo sapiens (human)
Lineage: Eukaryota; Metazoa; Chordata; Mammalia; Primates; Hominidae
Description: HSALNT0096373
Source: RNAcentral